GAUGAACGCUGGCGGCGUGCCUAAUACAUGCAAGUCGAGCGAACAGAUGAGGAGCUUGCCUCGCUUACGUUAGCGGCGGACGGGUGAGUGACACGUAGAUAACCUACCUAUAUGACUGGGAUAACUGCGGGGAACCGGAGCCAAUACCCGAUAAUAUAUUGAACCGGAUGGUUCAAUAGUGAAAGACGGUUCUGCUGUCACUUAGAGAUUGUUCCGCGCCGGAUUAGCUAGUUGGUAAGGUAACGGCUUACCAAGGCAACGAUGCGUAGCCGACCUGAGAGGAUGAUCCGCCACACUGGAACUGAGACACGGUCCAGACUCCUACGGGAGGCAGCAGUGGGGAAUCUUGGACAAUGGGCGAAAGCCUGAUCCAGCCAUGCCGCGUGAGUGAAGAAGGUCUUCGGAUUGUAAAGCUCUGUUAGUUGGGAAGAACACACGUGUACGUAUACAUGCACGUCUUGACGGUACCAACACAAAAAGCACCGGCUAACUACGUG
This 497-nucleotide ribosomal RNA is filed under the name uncultured bacterium. RNAcentral describes it as "partial 16S ribosomal RNA". It matches the Rfam family "Bacterial small subunit ribosomal RNA", at positions 28 to 507 of the family's 1533-position model. The record is from RNAcentral.